This 3126-nucleotide long non-coding RNA is filed under the name Canis lupus familiaris (dog). RNAcentral's name for it is "lncRNA (ENSCAFG00000056653.1)". Lineage: Eukaryota; Metazoa; Chordata; Mammalia; Carnivora; Canidae. The record is from RNAcentral.
UUUUGAAGUGUUUAAAUUUAUUUAAGUGCAAGUUAUUCUUGCCAUGAAUAUGAAAAUUUGGAACACAUUUUUAAAAACUAUUUAUAAUAUUUUAUUAUUUGGAGUGUCUUCUUUCAUUUAUGCAUUACUUCAAAAUUAAGAUACACUAUGAACGGUGUUUUGAAUUUCAACAAUAUAUCAUGAACAGUUCUCUAUGUUAUUAACUAUUCUUGUAAAACAUUCUUUAAUAAAAAAAAUUCUUUAAUGGAGGAUUACUCUUUCAUACUAUAGAUUUAUUCAUAAUUUAUUCUACCAAUUUCAAAUCGAUACUGUUAAACAGGCAACCCGUAUAUUUUAAGUUUAGAAUUUUUUUUUAAAGAUUUUUUAUUUAUUUAUUCAUAAGAGACACAGAGAGAGAGAGAGAGAGAGAGGCAGAGAAACAGGCAGAGGGAGAGGCAGGCUCCACGCAGGGAGCCCGACGUGGAACUUGAUCCUGGGUCUCCAGUGUGACGCCCUGGGCUGAAGGUGACACUAAACCGCUGAGCUACCCAGGCUUCUCUUAAGUGUAGAAUUUAUGGUAACAUUUAUAAUCUCUCAUUAACCAAAGACAUGACCAUUCAGGUCAAAGAUGUUUGAAAUCCAUACAUGAAGGCUGAUAGCUACUUAAAAUUAUAGUAAUUAUAAUUAGAUGAAUUGCUUGAUGUUAUUGCAGUUCCGUACUUUAUCUUGAAUAUUUUGUACUUGUGAUUCAUUUUUAGUGUUUUCUCACUUGAAGCCAUCAAAAGACCAUUCAUUUUAGUUUGGCACAAUUACUAAUAAAUAACAAUGAAAGUAAAAGUAACAUCUGUACUUUCAACAUGAAAGUGUCUUCAUUAUUAGCAGGGUGCAAGCAUUGUCAUUUCUGAUUCUCAGAACUUGAGACAGAGUACUAUGGGCUUCUUGAUGAACAUGAGGUUCAUAAAAGUUCAUGCCAAAGCAUCACCAUAAACCUCACAUACAGAUUUCUAGAUGAGAAAAAACUAAAUAUAUAAUCGGGGAUAAGAGGAUCAACUGAAACAAUAAAAAACAACAACAGAUUGUGUGUUAGUUCUUUUUACACAUUGAUGACUUCCUGGGUUGAGGCUCAAUGACAUUGCUAGAUACAGCUUCUCAGAUACCAGCAAUGCCUGCCUUACUCCUUAUCCUUUCCUAGGAUAACCUCACUUAUUUUUCAAAUGUCAACUAACCUGCAUCUUCUUUUGGAAGUCAUCCCCUGCCAUUCUGUAUACCUAAGCACAUAGACACAGACACAAGUGAAUGUGUGCAUGCACACACACACACACACACACACACACACACACACACUGGAGCGGCGGGGGCAGGGAGGUCUUGUCCUCUACAAAACUUUUCCAGAGCACCUUGUUAUGGAUUGAGUCAUGUCUCCCAAAAAGAUAGGUUUGUGUUCUAAUACAAAUGUGAUCUCAUCUGGGAAUAGUUUUUGCAGAUGUAAUCAAAUUAAGAUGAACUCACACCAAUUAAAAAUGGGCCCUAAUCCAAUGACUACCAUCCAUUGAAAAAGAAAGAAAUUUAAACAUAGACACACAGGGAGAUCAUUACAUGAUGACAGAGAAAAAGAAAUGAUGCAUCUAUUAGUCAACCAGCACCAAGGGCUAUCGGCAACUCCCAGAAGCUAGGAAGAUUCAAAGAACAAUCCUCCCCUAGAGCCUUCAGAAGGACACCUUGCUACACCUUGAUGUCAAGAUUCUAGCCUCCGAAACUCUGAGAAGAUAAAUUUCUUUUGUUCUAAGUCAUCCAUCUUUUGGUACUUUUUGAUAAGGCAGCCCUAUGAAAUUAAUAUAUCCCUAACACUUUCUUCCUCAUUCAUUCAUUCAAGCAAAUUUUACUAAAUGCUGACUCCAUGCCAGGGAGUAUACUUGCUUGCUUUCCUCCUAUUCCUCUGCCAAUCAGUAUAGCCCCUCAGAAGAGGAGCUUUAUUAUUACAUUCUCCAGAGCCUACACAAUUUCACACAGAGAAGAGGUUGCUAAUAAAUACUGUUGAUUAAAUGAUUAAAUGCCACUCUUGAUCUUUCACAGGGAGCUUCUUUUUAACAUUACUUUUAUCUUCCUAGUAAAGAGUGGUGUCCAAAGAGAACUGAGGGCUGAGAGAUAAAGGAGCUGUCUUUUAAUGACAAUCACAAAACUAUCCAAAGUAAACAACAGAAUAUGUGCAUUUUAAACAAACGGAUCUUAGAAAUUUUUUUGUUGCCGUUAUUAUCAUCAACUAUGCAAAUAAAAUGCCAUUUCUCUUUGAUUGUCUAAAUGUUCUUUACUUCAUCAACAUAAAAACAGCCAAAUGGACUUUCACUGAACUUGAAGGGUAUGUUUGGGAAGGCAUGAGAAAAAUUAUAGCAUAAUAGACAAACUCUGAAGUCAAAAUGCCUGAGUUUAAAUUCCUGCUUAGCCCUCCUUAAGGUAUAACCUUAAAGAAACAUUCAAUCUCUCAAGGUCUGUAGCUGCUCAUCUAUAAAAUGUGAUUAAUGAGUAUACAUUACAUAGGAAGCACAUGUGAGGAUUCAAAGAAAUACUAUAUGUUUAACAUAGUGUUUUAAACAUAGUGAAUACUCCACCAAGUUAAUUUGCUUUAGUUCUAUUGUAUUACUCUCAUUAUUAAUAAAGCUGCUAUGUUUUUGUUUGCAAAAUCUUGGUGCAAGUCCUUUAGAAAUCCUUACUCAGUAGGUUAAAAAAUAUGUAAGAUCUUAGAAGAAGAAAUCACUUAUUUAUUUACAUAUACUAUGCAUAUGAUAAUUUCAAAAAUAAGGACCAAAAGAAAGAUUGCUUUUUCCUUCAAAAAGGCAGUCAAUCUGGCUAAGUAUCUUGAUCAUCAUUCAAAGAACUUUCUUUAAGUUUGAAGUCUCCAGUACAUUGAGGCACAUCACCACAGCAAGUGGUUGUCCAUGUGAAUACACAGAUGAAUCAGAGAGAAUUGCCUAUAAAUAAUUCAUGGUUAUACAGGAAGAUAGAGAUACAAUUGCAGGAUUCAUUGACUCCCUAUUUUCCAUGGAAAACUACUAUAACACCUUGGCUAAGUACACAACACACUUUAUGUUCUCAUUUCCCACUUAUUGGUAUAUAUAGAAUUAUAGCUCCCACAUUAUGUUUCAUUUUUUU